This 111-nucleotide ribosomal RNA is filed under the name Escherichia coli. RNAcentral also lists the same sequence under 1 other name. The record is from RNAcentral. Lineage: Bacteria; Pseudomonadati; Pseudomonadota; Gammaproteobacteria; Enterobacterales; Enterobacteriaceae.
UGGCGGCAGUAGCGCGGUGGUCCCACCUGACCCCAUGCCGAACUCAGAAGUGAAACGCCGUAGCGCCGAUGGUAGUGUGGGGGCUCCCCAUGCGAGAGUAGGGAACUGCCA